RNAcentral lists this ribosomal RNA (506 nucleotides) under uncultured bacterium. Its description in RNAcentral is "partial 16S ribosomal RNA". It matches the Rfam family "Bacterial small subunit ribosomal RNA", at positions 29 to 523 of the family's 1533-position model. The record is from RNAcentral.
AGUGAACGCUGGCGGUAGGCCUAACACAUGCAAGUCGAACGGCAGCACAGAGGAGCUUGCUCCUUGGGUGGCGAGUGGCGGACGGGUGAGGAAUACAUCGGAAUCUACUCUGUCGUGGGGGAUAACGUAGGGAAACUUACGCUAAUACCGCAUACGACCUACGGGUGAAAGCAGGGGACCUUCGGGCCUUGCGCGAUUGAAUGAGCCGAUGUCGGAUUAGCUAGUUGGCGGGGUAAAGGCCCACCAAGGCGACGAUCCGUAGCUGGUCUGAGGGGAGGAGCAGCCACACUGGAACUGAGACACGGUCCAGACUCCUACGGGAGGCAGCAGUGGGGAAUAUUGGACAAUGGGCGCAAGCCUGAUCCAGCCAUACCGCGUGGGUGAAGAAGGCCUUCGGGUUGUAAAGCCCUUUUGUUGGGAAAGAAAUCCAGCUGGUUAAUACCCGGUUGGGAUGACGGUACCCAAAGAAUAAGCACCGGCUAACUUCGUGCCAGCCGCCGCCGUAA